This 252-nucleotide ribosomal RNA is filed under the name uncultured bacterium. RNAcentral's name for it is "partial 16S ribosomal RNA". It matches the Rfam family "Bacterial small subunit ribosomal RNA", at positions 524 to 776 of the family's 1533-position model. The record is from RNAcentral.
UACGUAGGGUGCGAGCGUUAAUCGGAAUUACUGGGCGUAAGCGUGCGCAGGCGGUUAUGUAAGACAGAUGUGAAAUGCCCGGGCUUAACCUGGGAACUGCAUUUGUGACUGCAUGGCUAGAGUGUGUCAGAGGGGGGUAGAAUCCACGUGUAGCAGUGAAAUGCGUAGAUAUGUGGAGGAAUACCGAUGGCGAAGGCAGCCCCCUGGGAUAACACUGACGCUCAUGCAACGAAAGCGUGGGGAGCAAACAGG